UACGAAGGGGGCUAGCGUUGCUCGGAAUCACUGGGCGUAAAGCGCACGUAGGCGGAUUCUUAAGUCAGGGGUGAAAUCCCGGAGCUCAACUCCGGAACUGCCUUUGAUACUGGGAAUCUUGAGUUCGAGAGAGGUGAGUGGAACUGCGAGUGUAGAGGUGAAAUUCGUAGAUAUUCGCAAGAACACCAGUGGCGAAGGCGGCUCACUGGCUCGAUACUGACGCUGAGGUGCGAAAGCGUGGGGAGCAAACAGG
This 253-nucleotide ribosomal RNA is filed under the name uncultured bacterium. RNAcentral describes it as "partial 16S ribosomal RNA". It matches the Rfam family "Bacterial small subunit ribosomal RNA", at positions 524 to 776 of the family's 1533-position model. The record is from RNAcentral.